Long non-coding RNA from Monodelphis domestica (gray short-tailed opossum), 6169 nucleotides. RefSeq lists it as uncharacterized. The record is from RefSeq and is a predicted model, not a curated record. Lineage: Eukaryota; Metazoa; Chordata; Mammalia; Didelphimorphia; Didelphidae.
AAAGCUCUCUGCUGUCGUCAUUGUUGCUGCCACGGCAACAGCAUCACCAUAAAGGCAAACAUACUCAGAGCUUUUGGACCAAGCUGCAUCUGGGGCUUUUCUCCGGAAGCUUAAGGUUCCCUAUUCAGAUACAGCCUGGGCUUCACCUUGUGCCACCAAAAUUGUGCCUUUGCUCCCCCCAACCAAAAGCCUAAUACAUAAAAUGAGGAAGGCAGGAUGGUUUCCACAAUGAAUAGCCAGUCUCCGCACUACCACGGGAGGUCUUAUGGCCUUGGGCAAAGCCCUUCAGCUCUUGAAGCCUCCAUUUGCCCACGUAAUGGAAGGAGAUUUGUAGGAAAGAGGAUCUCUAAUCUCCCCGCCUAUAAUUCUAUUAACUUCCCAAUGCUCACAAAAUUCAAGAGUUUUCGGAAAAGUCCCAGUUAAUAGAGUGAUUCACCAAGGAACCAAAUACUAUUUUGUAAAAGAAUCUUCACCCCAAAGAUCUCUCCAAGGUCUCUUAGAGGCUGAUCCUGCCAAAAACCAAGACAAACAGCUCUAAUGGACUUAGGCUCUGGCCUUCUGGGAGUUUGUUUAAUGCUGAGACGUCCUUUGGAUGCUUCACAGAAUCAACCACUCCUGUCUCUUCAGAGAUGUGGUGAUUAAAGAUGGAGAAUGGACCCUUUGCAGUAAAGUCUUUAUUUUUAGGGAAACUAAUUUGAAAUGUGCAGAUUCCGAGAGGUACGCGCAGAUAGCCACUGUGCGAGAAUAUGCCCUCCAUCAAAGCUUACAUCAGAAGAAAAGAAAAACGAGCUUUACUCCAUAAUAUUUAUACUACUCUUGUCCAAACUAUUUGAAAAAUAAAUAGUAGGGAGGAGACAAAGUCAGCCAACUGACAUCCUGAAGAUCUGAGCUUUCCUAUGCAAUGUGGCAUUGCUACCUUUUGGGCAAAGAGGCCACCAAAAACAAUAUGUGCAGCAGGUCCAGAGCAGAAACCAGCCCAUUGGGUUUGGUGCCCUCUCUCGACUGUCCUCUUCAAGAGGACGUAGACACAAGACAAGAGCAUCCUGGAUGAGAGCAUGAGGAGACAACAGAUGGGAACUCGCAAACACCAUUCUGUGAGACCACAUUUGGCUGUCAAAUAUUUGGUAGGAAGAGAGGAAAAAUCCAAAGUGCUAUCGUAGGGGGCCUCUUGUUCGUUGCCUGUAAGGCAGCACCCUAUUCAAGAGACCAAGAUGUCACUGGAGAGAUGGCCACCAAAGGAUCAAAAGAGUGCUUGUAGGUAAAGCCAUAGAAAUCACCCUGAAUAAUGCUCUUCUCAGCAUUAACCUCGAACUGUCAGCAUCAUCGCAGGUUCAAGAAACUGUUGUAGGUGCUAAAGAUACAAAGGACCAAAGAAAACCGUCACCACCAUCAGAGAUCUCACAGUCUAUCACUGGAGAGGAGUUGGAUGAACAACACAGAAGGUUUCUCCUUCAGCAAUUGGACAAAGCCUUGUGUCUGCAACAGGUGAAUACCCAGGGCGAGCGUCCUAAGCCAACCAGCGGGAUAUUGCCCAGAUUUCCCUCUGAAACAAAGAUUCACCUUUUCAAACUAGAAAGUAACACGAGCAUAACACUUUAGGUUUUCUAUACUGAUGAAUACAUUAGAAUGAUCCAUGCUAAUAAGAAAGAAAAGACCUGGAUCACAGAUAGUCACAAAUAAUCAAAGCAUCUCAUUUUGGAUGAGGUUUCAACUUACUCUCUCAUUCAAAAACAGCACAGAAGCUUCCAAGUGGCCCACUCCCAGUCCUUCUCACUACCCUCACCCUCAUCACCCAAUACUGGGAGCUAAAACAGGAGGAAAGGGUGCUCUGCUCCCCCAAUCCCCCACACACCCAAACACAUACACAAUCACCUCAAAACAAAGGAAGUCAAGAGGAAUAUAUGUCACUGGGGUAAGAGGAGAGGGUUGCCCAUUGUGGUGAAAAAAAAGACAGAAGACACCAAUAAAGUGUCCAAGCCAAUAACAGGUUUUACUGAGAGAGGGCCUGUCUCAAAAUAAAGCCAGACUCUAGUCAAGAUCAAGACCAAAGACCCCACCUUUUAGGAAAUAGCCUUUUUAAUGCAUAGAAAUCUGAUGACAUUGUGCUGUAUUAAAGGUAGAGAAUACAGUCAAAAAUUAAAGUAGAAUGAAAAUAAAUCUUUCACAUGGGCAGGUCUUAAUUAAUUAAUGACGAAGUGAUGAAUCAGCUGGAGAGUACAGAAAUAAUCACUCUGGGUGGUAACUAAUAUCUAUUAUUAUGACUGACCUUUCCAAGGCCUCUGCAAUAAGGGGUCAGGGUGUAAUUGCUCUUGCUGACAACUUCUAUUACAAUUAGGAGUCCGCAGCCGGAUGACUGACACAGUCAUUGCACCUAGCCAGGCACCCCAAGGACAGCCCUCCGACUCCUACCUGACUGCCUUAUAAGACACCCCAGAGGCAGCCCUCCACCUCCUGACUGGCUGUCUUAUGCUUACAUGCAGCAGGGUGUGGUGGCCUUGAUCGAAACUUUGGGGUUACAAUCCUAACAGCAAGAUUUAAUACCACCCUAAACUGUAUUUUUCUUAGCUAAUGCUUAUAAUUUCUAUAAAGCAAAUGGUAUUAUUUGUGUUGUAAUCAUGAAGGCUACUACUGUUAAAAUCCUAAAAAGGGCUCAGGGGUUUCACACUCACACCAGCCAGUAGAGCCACUUCAGGAACCAGAAGAAUUUGAAUCAGCUCAACAAGCAGGGACUCCCCAGAGGCAACAAAGCUGCAGUAUGGGAAUGAGCCCAGCCCAAGCCACUCCACUCAGGGGCAGAAGGCUGGGAAAGCAGGAAACCUAAAAACUCUGGCAAUAGAGCCCUGAGGCAAGCAGAGAGGAAGAAGUUAGAAUUUCAGAACCCUACUCAGAGUUCUGGCGGAAGCACAGCCCAGGCUACUUGUCAGGGGCAAGGAAGCAGUAGGGCAGAGACCAGCCCAAUUCAUGAAACAAUGGGGGAAAUAGAAGCAUGGGGUCCUGAAUAUAGCUGGACAAAAUAGCUACAAACCUUCCCGGAGCAAGCCAACAGGACCAGCUCCUUGACAGACAUACCUUAAGGAACAAGGACUGCCAGUCCUACCCUAUGUACCAAAGAAGACUACUCUGCAGUGUGCCCUCUACCCCAGGAACAGAGAAGAAUAUCAACAGAUAGAUAAGGUCACUGGGGUGGGGGUGGGGGGAAACAACUAAAAAGGAAAAGAUUAAAAAAAAAACCUGACCUUAAAAAGUUACUUUAAUGACAGGGAAGAUCAAAAUAUGAACUUAGAAGAGAAUAACAGUACCAUAAGCACAUGAAGCCUCAAAAGAAAGUGGAGAAAGGAUGUCAGGCCACAAAAGAACCCUUGGAAGAACUUGAACAGAAAUUAGAAAGCCAAAUAAUAAGAGAAUUAUCAAAAAAAAUACCCUUAAGAACUUGGGGUAGGGUGUAGAUCAGGGUGAGGGGGGAAAUCACUGAAGAAAUCAACUCCCUAAAAGUAGAAUAGGUCAAAAGGAAAGGAAGGAACAAAAAAUACCUUAAAGAAAACAACUGACUAAGGAAUUGAAUGGACCAAGUGGAAAUGGAGGCAAAAAAAAAAACCCACUGAAGAAAACAGCUCUUUAAAGAGUCGGAUUGGCAAAUGGGAAAGAAAACAUAAAAACUCAAGGAAGAGAAUAACUCCCUAAAAGUUAAAAUUAGAUAAACAGAAACUAACGAAACCAUAAAAAUUAGGAAACAAGUCAAAAUAAAUAAAUUAAAUUAAUGGAAGAAAACCUAAAAUAUCCUACUGGAAAAACAACUGACCUGGAAAAUAGAUUUGGGAGAGAUAAUCUAAGAAUCAACAGAGUACCUGAAAGCCUUGAGCAAAAAAGAGUCUGACAUUGUAUUACAAGAAAUCAUCAGUGGAUAUUGCCUUGGUAUCCUCAAACAAGAGGGGAAAAUAGAAAAUGAAAGAAUCCACCAAUCACCUCCUGAAAAGGACUCCAAAAUAAAACACCACAGGAAUAUUAUGCCUAAAUUUUAUAACUCCUAAGUCAAGGAAAAAGGCACUCCAAGCUUCCAGGGGGAAACAAUUCAAAUAUCAAGAAACCCCAAUCAGGAUUACAAAGAACCUAGCAACUUCUACAUUAAAGGACCAGAAAUCAUGGAAUAUGAUUUUCUAAAAGGCAAAGAAUCUAGAACUACAACCUAGAAUUACAUAGCAAGCAAAAUUGAGCAUAAUCCUCCAGAGAAGAAAAUUGAUGUUCGAUGAUAGAGGAAUUUCAGGGUUUUCUGACCAAAAACCUAGAGCUGAAAAGAAAAUCUGAUGAGCAAAUUUGACACUAAAAAGAAGCAUAAAAAUAUAAAGUGAAAACAAGGGUUUUGCUAAGGUUGAAUUGAGUAUGCUCGUGCCUGGGGAGGUGGUAAUUGAAGGAAUUAAGAUAUCUAUGAUGCUUGAGUUAGGGCACUUAAAAUAUGCAAGAUACCUAAAGUACCUCUGAUGCUUGGAAAGUGAUCACUAUUAGAGCAAUGCAAAGGAGUGUAUAGAGAAAGCAGGAAGGAGGCUAAGUAAGAUGGACUGACAUUUAAAAAGGGGAGAUGGGACAGAGGAACAUAUGAGAGAGGAGAAAUGGAAAGGGGUAAGCUACCUCUCCUUAAGAAGCACAUAAGUGGCAAAUGCAGAGGAGGAAAACAUGCAUGUGUGGAGGGGAUGGUUAUGAUUGAAGCUCACUCUCGUCAGAACUAGCUCAAAGGAAGAAUAGCACUCACAUUCAGUCAGCUAUAGAAACCCAGCUUAUCCUACGGGGAAGUACGAAGGUAGGGAGAACAGGGAGAGAGGAUCACCCUCCUCCAAAGUGCUUCCAGUCUGCCAAAGUCCUUCUUAAAGCAUGACACCUACGAUCGCAUUAGCCUGGCUGGGUGCCAUGCCACACUAAUGACUCGUAUGAAAAUUUUGAUUCACAAAUCUAUGCUCGUCUUUUUCCCAUGUAGUCGUGUCUAGCCAAAUCUCCCCACCUCUAGUUACAUAGUACGUCUGCUUAUCAGUGUCCCACGGUCUUGCCGAGGACAAUAUCCAAGACAAAGCACCUCAAUUGGACGGAUCCUUGUAAUGAACUUUCAGGAGGGCAUGGACCAGGGUCAGAUACCAGAAGCGAAAGCCGGCUCUGAUUAUUGCACAAAACACAGGCUGAACUGAACUUGUGUCAUGAAUAUUUUAGUGAGAAGAGACAAGGCUCAGACAUUUUUAAAAGUCAUUUGACUUUUUUCACUUCAAAGCUCCACAAUGAAAAUGAUGCUUUUAGAAAUUCCUGGCACGAACUCACGGGGGGACCCCAAAAUAAGAUGAAAAGGGUCUCUCUGCGAUGCCGCUAGUCAAAGGAAAGGAUUCAUUCAUUCUGGAAUUCGAUCUCUGCUGACUGUGGCCUGGAAUGUUUCUCUGGCAAGUCUCCCUGGAGACUCCCUUGUGCAAUAUUCCAUUAACAUCCUAUAAAACCCAGCCCAGAUCUGUGAAGUCCCCUCUAGGCAGGAGAGCAGAGUUCAGUCCUGACCGACCUUCUUGUGGACUUCAGGCCAUCAUUUUCGGGGAGGGGGGAAUAGCUAGCCCUGAGGGUCUUCCAUUUCCAGAACUACUGCCCUGGUCCCUAAAACCCUCAUUCCCAAGCCAAGGUCAGAGAGGGAAAACUUGGAUGACACCCUUCUACCAGACAGGAAGGCACCUCUGCUCUCGCCCAGGAACUGUCCAAGAAGCGAGUCAUCCUUCAUCCUCGUAAGGAGAUCUUCCCCUCCUCUCCUUGAGACAAAGCGCCCACAAAUCACCCUCCUGAGCAAGGUGCAGCCGGAAGAUUAAGAAAUCGGCUGAAUGUGUGGGCCCGGCUAUUCACCGCCCAGCAAUAAAAGACACCUUCCCAUCGGUCUUGUCAUGUGACGCCAAUUCCCCAGGCGCAAUGACCCAAACGGGUGGAGGCUCCCAGCGAACCUCAUUCGAGGCCCUCCUGGACCCUGCAAAACACCAAGCUGGCCCUCCUUCCCCCCAAAGAGGCAUUCAGGCAAGACCUGCCUUUGGGGCGUUAUUCAGGCAUUUUCCAGGAAGGACUGGAGCAAUGUGCAAAUAGCUGACCAUUACGGAAGGACACACACACACACACCUCUGUCGCCACAUUGCAUGGAAGCCCUAAUGGAAGAUCACUAAAUCAA